Molecule: ribosomal RNA, 253 nt
Filed under: uncultured bacterium
Lineage: Bacteria
Description: partial 16S ribosomal RNA
Rfam family: Bacterial small subunit ribosomal RNA
Source: RNAcentral
UACGUAGGGUGCAAGCGUUGUCCGGAAUUAUUGGGCGUAAAGAGCUCGUAGGCGGUUUGUCGCGUCGAAUGUGAAAUCCCGGGGCUCAACCCCGGGCCUGCAUUCGAUACGGGCAGACUUGAGUUCGGUAGGGGAGACUGGAAUUCCUGGUGUAGCGGUGAAAUGCGCAGAUAUCAGGAGGAACACCGGUGGCGAAGGCGGGUCUCUGGGCCGAUACUGACGCUGAGGAGCGAAAGCGUGGGGAGCGAACAGG